AAAGGAAUUGACGGGGACCCGCACAAGCGGUGGAUGAUGUGGAUUAAUUCGAUGCAACGCGACAAACCUUACCUACCCUUGACAUGUCCGSAAUCCUGCAGAGAUGSGGGAGUKCUCGAAAGAGAACCGGAACACAGGUGCUGCAUGGCYGUCGUCAGYUCGUGUCGUGAGAUGUUGGGUUAAGUCCCGCAACGAGCGCAACCCUUAUCAUUAGUUGCUACGCAAGGGCACUCUAAUGAGACUGCCGGUGACAAACCGGAGGAAGGUGGGGAUGACGUCAAGUCCUCAUGGCCCUUAUGGGUAGGGCUUCACACGUCAUACAAUGGUCGGUACAGAGGGUUGCCAAGCCGCGAGGUGGAGCCAAUCCCAGAAAGCCGAUCGUAGUCCGGAUUGUUCUCUGCAACUCGAGAGCAUGAAGUCGGAAUCGCUAGUAAUCGCGGAUCAGCAUGUCGCGGUGAAUACGUUCCCGGGUCUUGUACACACCGCCCGUCACACCAUGGGAGUGGAAUCYGSCAGAAGUAGGUAGCCUAACCGCAAGGAGGGCGCUUACCACGSUGGGUUUCAUGACUGGGGUGAAGUCGUAACAAGGUAACCG
This 595-nucleotide ribosomal RNA is filed under the name uncultured beta proteobacterium. Its description in RNAcentral is "bacterial SSU rRNA". It matches the Rfam family "Bacterial small subunit ribosomal RNA", at positions 903 to 1502 of the family's 1533-position model. The record is from RNAcentral. Lineage: Bacteria; Pseudomonadati; Pseudomonadota; Betaproteobacteria.